RNAcentral lists this transfer RNA (74 nucleotides) under Caudoviricetes sp. RNAcentral's name for it is "tRNA-Arg". It matches the Rfam family "tRNA". From Rfam's summary of the family: Transfer RNA (tRNA) molecules are approximately 80 nucleotides in length. Their secondary structure includes four short double-helical elements and three loops (D, anti-codon, and T loops). Further hydrogen bonds mediate the characteristic L-shaped molecular structure. tRNAs have two regions of fundamental functional importance: the anti-codon, which is responsible for specific mRNA codon recognition, and the 3' end, to which the tRNAs corresponding amino acid is attached (by aminoacyl-tRNA synthetases). tRNAs cope with the degeneracy of the genetic code in two manners: having more than one tRNA (with a specific anti-codon) for a particular amino acid; and 'wobble' base-pairing, i.e. permitting non-standard base-pairing at the 3rd anti-codon position. The record is from RNAcentral. Lineage: Duplodnaviria; Heunggongvirae; Uroviricota; Caudoviricetes.
UGACAUGUAGCUCAAUUGGAUAGAGCGCAACGCUACGGACGUUGGUGUUGCAGGUUCGAGUCCUGUCAUGUCAG